Molecule: ribosomal RNA, 494 nt
Filed under: uncultured bacterium
Lineage: Bacteria
Description: partial 16S ribosomal RNA
Rfam family: Bacterial small subunit ribosomal RNA
Source: RNAcentral
GACGAACGCUGGCGGCGUGCUUAACACAUGCAAGUCGAACGGUGAAGCGCCUUCCUUUUUGGUGGGUGUGGAUGAGUGGCGAACGGGUGAGUAACACGUGAGUAACCUGCCCCCUUCUUCUGGAUAACCGCAUGAAAGUGUGGCUAAUACGGGAUAUUCUGGGUCUGUCGCAUGAUGGGUCUGGGAAAGAUAUUGUUUCGGUGGGGGAUGGGCUCGCGGCCUAUCAGCUUGUUGGUGGGGUGAUGGCCUACCAAGGCGGUGACGGGUAGCCGGCCUGAGAGGGUGGGCGGUCACACUGGGACUGAGACACGGCCCAGGCUCAUACGGGAGGCAGCAGUGGGGAAUAUUGCACAAUGGGCGCAAGCCUGAUGCAGCGACGCCGCGGGCGGGAUGGAGGCCUUCGGGUUGUGAACCUCUUUCGCCAGUGAAGCAGGCCUGCCUCGUUUGUGGGUGGGUUGACGGUAGCUGGAUAAGAAGCGCCGGCUAACUACGUG